GGUAAUUUAAAUUUAAUUCUCAAGGACAAUAGCCAAAAGGCUAAAACUUAAUGAUCAUGGCGGCUAGUUAUAUUCAGGGGAACUUACCUACUAAACGAUAAUCCACGAGUUUACUAUCUUUACUUUAAAGCUUGUAUACCGCCGUAAAGUAUUGAAUUGAGUUUAAUACUAAAUCUUAGAGAGAACCACAGGUUAAGGUGCAGCAUAUAGUAAAGGAAAUUGGCGAGUUACAUUUAAAAUUUUUUUUCGGAAAUAUGAUUUUAACUAAUAUUGAAGAUGGACUUGAUAGUAAAUUUUAAUUAAAAUAUAAAUUGAAUACUACAAAACUAGUGC
Molecule: ribosomal RNA, 333 nt
Filed under: Siphonaria sp. UF 310785
Lineage: Eukaryota; Metazoa; Mollusca; Gastropoda; Siphonariida; Siphonariidae
Description: partial 12S ribosomal RNA
Source: RNAcentral